RNAcentral lists this transfer RNA (67 nucleotides) under Marmota monax (woodchuck). RNAcentral describes it as "tRNA.Ala". The record is from RNAcentral. Lineage: Eukaryota; Metazoa; Chordata; Mammalia; Rodentia; Sciuridae.
GGUUGUGGCUCAGUGGUAGAGUGCUUGCCUAGCAUGUGUGAGGCACUGGGUUUAAUACUCAGCACCA